Molecule: ribosomal RNA, 380 nt
Filed under: uncultured eukaryote
Lineage: Eukaryota
Description: partial 18S ribosomal RNA
Rfam family: Eukaryotic small subunit ribosomal RNA
Source: RNAcentral
CAAUAGCGUAUAUUAAAGUUGUUGCGGUUAAAAAGCUCGUAGUUGGAGUUCUGCCAGGUGCCGCCUGUCCGCCCCAGUGGUGAGUACGUGGCGCGCAUUUGGCCCUUUCAAGGGGAGCGUAUCUGCACUUUAUUGUGUGGUGCGGGAUCCUUGACUUUUACUUUGAGGAAAUUAGAGUGUUCACGGCAGGCAAUCGCCUUGAAUAUAUUAGCAUGGAAUAAUAACAUAGGAUCUUUGUCCUAUUUUGUUGGUUUCUAGGGCUGAGAUAAUGAUUAAUAGGGAUAAUUGGGGGCAUCUGUAUCAACGCGUCAGAGGUGGAAUUCUUGGAUUGCGUUGCGACAAACUACUGCGAAAGCAUUUGCCAAGGAUGUUUUCAUUGA